RNAcentral lists this ribosomal RNA (497 nucleotides) under uncultured bacterium. Its description in RNAcentral is "partial 16S ribosomal RNA". It matches the Rfam family "Bacterial small subunit ribosomal RNA", at positions 28 to 507 of the family's 1533-position model. The record is from RNAcentral.
GAUGAACGCUGGCGGCAUGCCUAAUACAUGCAAGUCGAGCGAACCGACGAGGAGCUUGCUCCUAUGACGUUAUCGCCGGACGGGUGAGUAACACGUGGUUAACCUACCUAUACGACUGGGAUAACUUCGGGAAACCGGAGCUACUACCGGAUAAUAUAUUGAACCGCAUGGUUCAAUAGUGAAAGAAGCUUUUGCUGUCACUUAUAGAUGACUCCGCCCCGCAUUAGUUAGUUGGUAAGGUAACGGCUUACCAAGGCGACGAUGCGUAGCCGACCCGAGAGGGUGAUCGGACACACGGGAACUGAGAAACGGUCCAGACUCCGACAGGGGGCAGCAGUAGAGAAUCUUCCGGGAUGGACGAAUGCCUGACGGAGCAACGCCGCGUGAGUGAUGAAGGACUUCGGAUGGUAGAACUCUGUUAUUAGGGGAGUAGAAAUGUGUAAGUAACUAUGCACGUCUUGACGGUACCUAAACAGAAAGCCACGGCUAACUACGUG